CCUACGGGGGGCUGCAGUGGGGAAUAUUGCACAAUGGGGGAAACCCUGAUGCAGCGACGCCGCGUGAGUGAUGAAGUAUUUCGGUAUGUAAAGCUCUAUCAGCAGGGAAGAUAAUGACGGUACCUGACUAAGAAGCUCCGGCUAAAUACGUGCCAGCAGCCGCGGUAAUACGGAUGGAGCAAGCGUUAUCCGGAUUUACUGGGUGGAAAGGGAGUGCAGACGGCAGGGCAAGUCUGAUGUGAAAGUCCGGGGCCAAACCCCGGGACUACAUUGGAAACUGUCCGGCUAGAGUGCAGGAGAGGUAAGUGGAAUUCCUAGUGUAGCGGUGAAAUGCGUAGAUAUUAGGAGGAACACCAGUGGCGAAGGCGGCUUACUGGACUGUAACUGACGUUGAGGCUCGAAAGCGUGGGGAGCAAACAGGAUUAGAUACCCCUGUAGUC
RNAcentral lists this ribosomal RNA (440 nucleotides) under uncultured bacterium. RNAcentral describes it as "partial 16S ribosomal RNA". It matches the Rfam family "Bacterial small subunit ribosomal RNA", at positions 338 to 795 of the family's 1533-position model. The record is from RNAcentral.